UACAGAGGUCUCAAGCGUUGUUCGGAUUCAUUGGGCGUAAAGGGUGUGUAGGUGGCGCGCUAAGUCGGGUGUGAAAUUUCGGAGCUUAACUCCGAAACUGCAUUCGAUACUACCGUGCUUGAGGGCUGGAGAGGAGACUGGAAUUUACGGUGUAGCGGUGAAAUGCGUAGAUAUCGUAAGGAAGACCAGUGGCGAAGGCGGGUCUCUGGACAGUUCCUGACGCUGAGGCACGAAGGCCAGGGGAGCAAACGGG
RNAcentral lists this ribosomal RNA (253 nucleotides) under uncultured bacterium. RNAcentral's name for it is "partial 16S ribosomal RNA". It matches the Rfam family "Bacterial small subunit ribosomal RNA", at positions 524 to 776 of the family's 1533-position model. The record is from RNAcentral.